This is a transfer RNA of Camelus ferus (Wild Bactrian camel), 72 nucleotides long. It matches the Rfam family "tRNA". From Rfam's summary of the family: Transfer RNA (tRNA) molecules are approximately 80 nucleotides in length. Their secondary structure includes four short double-helical elements and three loops (D, anti-codon, and T loops). Further hydrogen bonds mediate the characteristic L-shaped molecular structure. tRNAs have two regions of fundamental functional importance: the anti-codon, which is responsible for specific mRNA codon recognition, and the 3' end, to which the tRNAs corresponding amino acid is attached (by aminoacyl-tRNA synthetases). tRNAs cope with the degeneracy of the genetic code in two manners: having more than one tRNA (with a specific anti-codon) for a particular amino acid; and 'wobble' base-pairing, i.e. permitting non-standard base-pairing at the 3rd anti-codon position. The record is from Rfam. Lineage: Eukaryota; Metazoa; Chordata; Mammalia; Artiodactyla; Camelidae.
GAGGGUACAGCUCAGUGGUAGAGCGUGUGCUUAGCAUGCACAAGGUCCUGGGUUCAAUCUGAAGUACCUCCA